CGAGGCGGCCGGAUGGCCGCGCGUCGUCGGGGCAACCCGAUCGGCGUGAGGAAAGUCCGAGCUCCCCAGCGCAGGGUAGUGGGUAACUCCCAUCCGCCGCGAGGCGAGGACCAGCGCCACAGUGACGAUGCCGGCGGAAGCCGGAGUGAAACGCGGCAAGCUCUACCCGGAGCAAGGCCAAAUAGGAGGGCGAUCACCCGGUUCGCCGGGAGUGGGCGCGCUGCCCAGCCCUCGGGUCGGCCGCAUGAGCCGUCGGGCAACCGGC
Molecule: RNase P RNA, 265 nt
Filed under: Chloroflexota bacterium
Lineage: Bacteria; Bacillati; Chloroflexota
Description: partial RNase P RNA component class A
Rfam family: Bacterial RNase P class A
About the family: Ribonuclease P (RNase P) is a ubiquitous endoribonuclease, found in archaea, bacteria and eukarya as well as chloroplasts and mitochondria. Its best characterised activity is the generation of mature 5'-ends of tRNAs by cleaving the 5'-leader elements of precursor-tRNAs.
Source: RNAcentral